GUGCGGACGGAGGAAAAGGAAAGCUCAUUACCAGAGGUUGCGAGACAUGCCAGCUAACCGUGUGCAAGUGAGCCGUCCUUGUUAGUUAGUUAGUUUGUGUAGCUAUCACUGAUAAACGAAGAGGAAACUCACUGAAGACAACAAACCAGGAGUAAAGCUACAGUUUGAGAACCGCGAAGGAAGCGGGAAUCGGCAGGGGAAACAAAAAGACAAGAAAAAAAACAAACCUGUAGUAAAUUACCUAAAGUAAGAGCACACGGGAGGAAGAGAAAAACCUGCUUGAGGGCGUACUCAAGCCCAAAUUGCCCUACAUGAGUAAUGAGUAAUAAACUAAACAAGGGAAGUCUGAAGGUGUUGUUAUUAAGUUGCACCAGACGAGCUGAAAAUGGAACAUUCAGAUACCAAGAUGGUUUCUGUGAUGUUGGGCAAUAUGAGGAAACUUAAGGACUCUUCAUCAUCAUAUACGUCAUAGUUUUGGAUACCCUUUCUCCUUGUUUUGUAUUGAAUAAUUUUUUUUGUAUAAAGGAUAUAACAAUGGCAAAAAUGAUGGCUGAUCACAUACAUUUGAGGGGGUCCUUCAUGCUCUGUGUUUGAGAAACAGGCAACGCUGUCCCGAACACCAUCCACCAGACUUAAACAGAUGGAACCUUUUCAGCUCUUUUUGCUUGCUUUUUUCCCCCUCCUUGUUUCCUGUCUGUUACUACAGGGCUCUAUUCUGCAGGCAGUGACGGGCUUAUUUACAAUG
Molecule: long non-coding RNA, 745 nt
Organism: Oreochromis aureus
Lineage: Eukaryota; Metazoa; Chordata; Actinopteri; Cichliformes; Cichlidae
Source: Ensembl